AGUGAACGCUGGCGGUAGGCCUAACACAUGCAAGUCGAACGGCAGCACAGUAAGAGCUUGCUCUUACGGGUGGCGAGUGGCGGACGGGUGAGGAAUACAUCGGAAUCUACUUUUUCGUGGGGGAUAACGUAGGGAAACUUACGCUAAUACCGCAUACGACCUACGGGUGAAAGCAGGGGAUCUUCGGACCUUGCGCGAUUGAAUGAGCCGAUGUCGGAUUAGCUAGUUGGCGGGGUAAAGGCCCACCAAGGCGACGAUCCGUAGCUGGUCUGAGAGGAUGAUCAGCCACACUGGAACUGAGACACGGUACAGACUCCUACGGGAGGCCGCAGUGGGGAAUAUUGGACAAUGGGCGCAAGCCUGAUCCAGCCAUACCGCGUGGGUGAAGAAGGCCUUCGGGUUGUAAAGCCCUUUUGUUGGGAAAGAAAAGCAGCAGGUUAAUACCCCGCUGUUCUGACGGUACCCAAAGAAUAAGCACCGGCUAACUUCGUG
Molecule: ribosomal RNA, 492 nt
Filed under: uncultured bacterium
Lineage: Bacteria
Description: partial 16S ribosomal RNA
Rfam family: Bacterial small subunit ribosomal RNA
Source: RNAcentral